AUGCCGGUCAGUUUACUGAAUAGUUCAUGAACUGUAAUUCUGAGGGCUUGUGUGAAAGAAAAUGUCUCUCUCUCUCUCCCCCUCUCUCUCUUUUUCCCUCUAAAAAGAAGAAACACCAAGUACCCAGGGGGAAGGGGCGAUGAGGGGGGGCGAGGGCGGCUGGAGGGAGCAGAGGUGGCUUUGUCUUGUCAUUUAGAGAGGGAAAAAAAAGAAGCUAACAGUCAAGCCACUUUGUGUCACUGCCCAAGUCAACCCCCAUCGCUGAGGGAGAAGAAAUCAUGGAUUGGAGGAGAAAGCACCAGAAGUAUUACUAUGUUGUGUCAUGGGCCUGAUCCUGGUCUGCUUGAACUCAAUACAAACAGGAAAAUAGUAAUAUAGUGUGAGCAGGAGCGGAGUCAAAGGGUUUUGGGCAAUGGGAGAUGAUCCUUCCCAAAAUCCUCCACAGCCAACAGGGUGCAGAGCAUGUCAAUUGUGUAAGGGAAGCAACAGUUCCCAAAGCAGGGAUGGCUCAGGAAAUGCAGGCUCAGAGCUACAGAGAGCAUGGAAAGAAAUAGGUGGAUGGUUCUUCUCAUCCUAACUCAAGCUCUGCCCCUAACUCAAGUUCAAAGUGGUCUGCUGCAAGGAGGGACAUCCCCUGACGUGCUGCCCCAGAAGCUGCGGGGUGGUGUCUCAGGCUGAAGCUGCCUCAGGUUUCCCUACAGAGAAGACCCAGCACGGGCUGCCCCACACUCCUGCCCGGGUGUUACACCACACCAAUAAGCUCAGUCAAUCAUCAUUCUUGCUUUCAGACACAAUGCACCUAUCAGCAUUUCUUGGGGACUCUCAGGGUUUGCUAAAUCCCUGUUAAUUCCCUCAGGGUCUCAACAGCACCUGAUGGCACCUGUGGAAGCAGUGGGCUGCCUCUCUCAAGCACAUCCACACAACCAUGGGGUAACAGCCCCUCUGCAGCAAUCUCAGCCCAGGCAGCACUGCGCAGCAGAUUCCCUUGACUCCCCUUCCCUUCAAUACAAUGGGACCUAAUUCCUGCAACACUUCUUUUUCUUUUUGUGGGGGAAAUGCAGCAAGUUGUUUACUUGAGUAAUAAGCGCACUGUAUUUGUUGUAAAAAUGCGUUCUUGUUAUUGCAGCAGAUUAAUGAAUAUGUGAAUCACAGCUGAGGAGUGUCACUCUCGCUGACUUCGUUAUGCAGAAGGUAGCAGGAAACAA
Molecule: long non-coding RNA, 1205 nt
Filed under: Numida meleagris (helmeted guineafowl)
Lineage: Eukaryota; Metazoa; Chordata; Aves; Galliformes; Numididae
Description: lncRNA (ENSNMEG00000008398.1)
Source: RNAcentral